GCAGUCGCCGCGGUAAUACGAAGGGUGCAAGCGUUACUCGGAAUUACUGGGCGUAAAGCGUGCGUAGGUGGUGGUUUAAGUCCGUUGUGAAAGCCCUGGGCUCAACCUGGGAAUUGCAGUGGAUACUGGGUCACUAGAGUGUGGUAGAGGAUAGUGGAAUUUCCGGUGUAGCAGUGAAAUGCGUAGAGAUCGGAAGGAACAUCUGUGGCGAAGGCGGCCCCCUGGACAAAGACUGACGCUGAUGCACGAAAGCUAGGGGAGCAAACAGGAUUAGAUACCCGUGUAGUCCCUGUCUCUUAUAC
This 302-nucleotide ribosomal RNA is filed under the name uncultured bacterium. RNAcentral describes it as "partial 16S ribosomal RNA". It matches the Rfam family "Bacterial small subunit ribosomal RNA", at positions 508 to 807 of the family's 1533-position model. The record is from RNAcentral.